UACGAAGGGGGCUAGCGUUGCUCGGAAUCACUGGGCGUAAAGGGUGCGUAGGCGGGUUUUUAAGUCAGGGGUGAAAUCCUGGAGCUCAACUCCAGAACUGCCUUUGAUACUGAGGAUCUUGAGUAUGACAGAGGUGAGUGGAACUGCGAGUGUAGAGGUGAAAUUCGUAGAUAUUCGCAAGAACACCAGUGGCGAAGGCGGCUCACUGGGUCAUUACUGACGCUGAGGCACGAAAGCGUGGGGAGCAAACAG
This 252-nucleotide ribosomal RNA is filed under the name uncultured bacterium. RNAcentral describes it as "partial 16S ribosomal RNA". It matches the Rfam family "Bacterial small subunit ribosomal RNA", at positions 524 to 775 of the family's 1533-position model. The record is from RNAcentral.